UGCGUAGGCGGAUCAGUAAGUCAGUGGUGAAAUCUCUCGGCUCAACCGGGAAACUGCCAUUGAUACUGUUGAUCUUGAGUUCGGUAGAGGUAGGCGGAAUGUGUAAUGUAGCGGUGAAAUGCUUAGAUAUUACACAGAACACCGAUUGCGUAGGCAGCUUACUAGACCGACACUGACGCUGAGGCACGAAAGCGUGGGUAGCGAACAGGAUUAGAUACCCUGGUAGUCC
This 229-nucleotide ribosomal RNA is filed under the name uncultured bacterium. RNAcentral's name for it is "partial 16S ribosomal RNA". It matches the Rfam family "Bacterial small subunit ribosomal RNA", at positions 568 to 796 of the family's 1533-position model. The record is from RNAcentral.